GACAGAGGGGGCAAGCGUUGUCCGGACUGACUGGGCGUAAAGCGCGCGCAGGCGGUCAGAGGCGUCGGUGCUCAAAGUCCACCGCUUAACGGUGGGAGGCGUGCCGAUACGCUCUGACUGGAGGGCGGGCGAGGGUGGUGGAAUUGCCGGUGUAGUGGUGAAAUGCGUAGAGAUCUGCAAGAAUACCCGUGGCGAAGGCGGCUCACUGGCCCGAUACUGACGCUGAGGUGCGAAAGCGUGGGGAGCAAACAGG
RNAcentral lists this ribosomal RNA (253 nucleotides) under uncultured bacterium. Its description in RNAcentral is "partial 16S ribosomal RNA". It matches the Rfam family "Bacterial small subunit ribosomal RNA", at positions 524 to 776 of the family's 1533-position model. The record is from RNAcentral.